GGGUUGUGAGGUUAAGCGACUAAGCGUACACGGUGGAUGCCCUGGCAGUCAGAGGCGAUGAAGGGCGUGCUAAUCUGCGAUAAGCGCCGGUAAGGUGAUAUGAACCGUUAUAACCGGCGAUACCCGAAUGGGGAAACCCAGUGUGAUUCGUCACACUAUCAUUAACUGAAUCCAUAGGUUAAUGAGGCGAACCGGGGGAACUGAAACAUCUAAGUACCCCGAGGAAAAGAAAUCAACCGAGAUUCCCCCAGUAGCGGCGAGCGAACGGGGAGGAGCCCAGAGCCUGAAUCAGCAUGUGUGUUAGUGGAAGCGUCUGGAAAGGUGCGCGAUACAGGGUGACAGCCCCGUACACAAAAGCGCAUGUGCUGUGAGCUCGAUGAGUAGGGCGGGACACGUGGUAUCCUGUCUGAAUAUGGGGGACCAUCCUCCAAGGCUAAAUACUCCUGACUGACCGAUAGUGAACCAGUACCGUGAGGGAAAGGCGAAAAGAACCCCGGCGAGGGGAGUGAAAAAGAACCUGAAACCGUGUACGUACAAGCAGUGGGAGCACAGGUUUACCUGUGUGACUGCGUACCUUUUGUAUAAUGGGUCAGCGACUUAUAUUCUGUAGCAAGGUUAACCGUAUAGGGGAGCCGGAGGGAAACCGAGUCUUAAUUGGGCGUUAAGUUGCAGGGUAUAGACCCGAAACCCGGUGAUCUAGCCAUGGGCAGGUUGAAGGUUGGGUAACACUAACUGGAGGACCGAACCGACUAAUGUUGAAAAAUUAGCGGAUGAUCUGUGGCUGGGGGUGAAAGGCCAAUCAAACCGGGAGAUAGCUGGUUCUCCCCGAAAGCUAUUUAGGUAGCGCCUCGUGAAUUCAUCUCCGGGGGUAGAGCACUGUUUCGGCUAGGGGGCCAUCCCGGCUUACCAACCCGAUGCAAACUGCGAAUACCGGAGAAUGUUAUCACGGGAGACACACGGCGGGUGCUAACGUCCGUCGUGAAGAGGGAAACAACCCAGACCGCCAGCUAAGGUCCCAAAGUCAUGGUUAAGUGGGAAACGAUGUGGGAAGGCCCAGACAGCCAGGAUGUUGGCUUAGAAGCAGCCAUCAUUUAAAGAAAGCGUAAUAGCUCACUGGUCGAGUCGGCCUGCGCGGAAGAUGUAACGGGGCUAAACCAUGCACCGAAGCUGCGGCAGCGAACGUAUCACCCAAGACAACUUUACGGAGUUGACGAUUGACGGAGCGAAGCGACGUCAAAGCGUUCAUUAAAGUCGAGUUGGCUUAGGGAUACGUUCGUUGGGUAGGGGAGCGUUCUGUAAGCCUGUGAAGGUGUGUCGUGAGGCAUGCUGGAGGUAUCAGAAGUGCGAAUGCUGACAUAAGUAACGAUAAAGCGGGUGAAAAGCCCGCUCGCCGGAAGACCAAGGGUUCCUGUCCAACGUUAAUCGGGGCAGGGUGAGUCGACCCCUAAGGCGAGGCCGAAAGGCGUAGUCGAUGGGAAACGGGUUAAUAUUCCCGUACUUGGUGUUACUGCGAAGGGGGACGGAGAAGGCUAUGUUGGCCGGGCGACGGUUGUCCCGGUUUAAGCGUGUAGGUGUGUGUUCCAGGUAAAUCCGGUUCACUUUAACACUGAGGCGUGACGACGAGGCACUACGGUGCUGAAGCAACAAAUGCCCUGCUUCCAGGAAAAGCCUCUAAGCAUCAGGUAACAUCAAAUCGUACCCCAAACCGACACAGGUGGUCAGGUAGAGAAUACCAAGGCGCUUGAGAGAACUCGGGUGAAGGAACUAGGCAAAAUGGUGCCGUAACUUCGGGAGAAGGCACGCUGACACGUAGGUGAAGUGAUUUACUCAUGGAGCUGAAGUCAGUCGAAGAUACCAGCUGGCUGCAACUGUUUAUUAAAAACACAGCACUGUGCAAACACGAAAGUGGACGUAUACGGUGUGACGCCUGCCCGGUGCCGGAAGGUUAAUUGAUGGGGUCAGCGCAAGCGAAGCUCCUGAUCGAAGCCCCGGUAAACGGCGGCCGUAACUAUAACGGUCCUAAGGUAGCGAAAUUCCUUGUCGGGUAAGUUCCGACCUGCACGAAUGGCGUAAUGAUGGCCAGGCUGUCUCCACCCGAGACUCAGUGAAAUUGAACUCGCUGUGAAGAUGCAGUGUACCCGCGGCAAGACGGAAAGACCCCGUGAACCUUUACUAUAGCUUGACACUGAACAUUGAGCCUUGAUGUGUAGGAUAGGUGGGAGGCUUUGAAGUGUGGACGCCAGUCUGCAUGGAGCCGACCUUGAAAUACCACCCUUUAAUGUUUGAUGUUCUAACGUGGACCCGUAAUCCGGGUUGCGGACAGUGUCUGGUGGGUAGUUUGACUGGGGCGGUCUCCUCCUAAAGAGUAACGGAGGAGCACGAAGGUUGGCUAAUCCUGGUCGGACAUCAGGAGGUUAGUGCAAUGGCAUAAGCCAGCUUGACUGCGAGCGUGACGGCGCGAGCAGGUGCGAAAGCAGGUCAUAGUGAUCCGGUGGUUCUGAAUGGAAGGGCCAUCGCUCAACGGAUAAAAGGUACUCCGGGGAUAACAGGCUGAUACCGCCCAAGAGUUCAUAUCGACGGCGGUGUUUGGCACCUCGAUGUCGGCUCAUCACAUCCUGGGGCUGAAGUAGGUCCCAAGGGUAUGGCUGUUCGCCAUUUAAAGUGGUACGCGAGCUGGGUUUAGAACGUCGUGAGACAGUUCGGUCCCUAUCUGCCGUGGGCGCUGGAGAACUGAGGGGGGCUGCUCCUAGUACGAGAGGACCGGAGUGGACGCAUCACUGGUGUUCGGGUUGUCAUGCCAAUGGCACUGCCCGGUAGCUAAAUGCGGAAGAGAUAAGUGCUGAAAGCAUCUAAGCACGAAACUUGCCCCGAGAUGAGUUCUCCCUGAGACUUAGAGUCUCCUGAAGGAACGUUGAAGACGACGACGUUGAUAGGCCGGGUGUGUAAGCGCAGCGAUGCGUUGAGCUAACCGGUACUAAUGAACCGUGAGGCUUAACCUUACAACGCCGAAG
RNAcentral lists this ribosomal RNA (3011 nucleotides) under Salmonella enterica. RNAcentral describes it as "bacterial LSU rRNA". It matches the Rfam family "Bacterial large subunit ribosomal RNA". The record is from RNAcentral. RNAcentral also lists the same sequence under 1 other name. Lineage: Bacteria; Pseudomonadati; Pseudomonadota; Gammaproteobacteria; Enterobacterales; Enterobacteriaceae.